UCCCUGGUGGUCUAGUGGGUAAGACUCCUCAGUCUCAAUGAAGGGGCCCAGGUUGGAUCCCUGGUCAGGGAA
Molecule: non-coding RNA, 72 nt
Organism: Bos taurus (domestic cattle)
Lineage: Eukaryota; Metazoa; Chordata; Mammalia; Artiodactyla; Bovidae
Source: Rfam